RNAcentral lists this non-coding RNA (23 nucleotides) under Arabidopsis thaliana (thale cress). Lineage: Eukaryota; Viridiplantae; Streptophyta; Magnoliopsida; Brassicales; Brassicaceae. The record is from RNAcentral.
CCGAUAUCCGUCUCACUCCAGGU